RNAcentral lists this transfer RNA (77 nucleotides) under Pseudoalteromonas denitrificans DSM 6059. Its description in RNAcentral is "tRNA_Pro_GGG". It matches the Rfam family "tRNA". Rfam says of the family: Transfer RNA (tRNA) molecules are approximately 80 nucleotides in length. Their secondary structure includes four short double-helical elements and three loops (D, anti-codon, and T loops). RNAcentral also lists the same sequence under 2 other names. The record is from RNAcentral. Lineage: Bacteria; Pseudomonadati; Pseudomonadota; Gammaproteobacteria; Alteromonadales; Pseudoalteromonadaceae.
CGGGGUAUAGCGCAGUUUGGUAGCGCACUUGUCUGGGGGACAAGGGGUCACAGGUUCAAAUCCUGUUACUCCGACCA